AGUCCCGUAGUCCAACGGUACGACGCCGGCAAUCCACGUUUUGAGAUUCGCUGGAGAUUGCGGGUUCAAUUCCCGCCGGAGCGA
This is a non-coding RNA of Mycena albidolilacea, 84 nucleotides long. Lineage: Eukaryota; Fungi; Basidiomycota; Agaricomycetes; Agaricales; Mycenaceae. The record is from the annotation of a GenBank genome assembly.